UUUCCGUAGGUGAACCUGCGGAAGGAUCAUUAUCGUACAAAAUGUGAGGGGCAUGCGAGGGCUGUCGCUGACCCAAAAGUCGUGCACGCCCGAGUGUGUCCUCUUGCAUAAUAAUCCAUCUCACCCUUUGUGCAUCACCGCGUGGGCACCCUUCGGGAUCAUCUCGGAGGGGGGCUCGCGUUUUCCCACAAACCCCCCUUUUAAAAGUGUAGAAUGACCACGUUUAUGCAAUCAAUACAACUUUCAACAACGGAUCUCUUGGCUCUC
RNAcentral lists this unclassified non-coding RNA (267 nucleotides) under plant metagenome. RNAcentral's name for it is "partial contains small subunit ribosomal RNA, internal transcribed spacer 1, and 5.8S ribosomal RNA". The record is from RNAcentral.